GCUCAACCACUGAGCCACCCCAGCCGGACCCAUGUUAGAAUCUCCAAGUGGAAGUCAUACAAAACAGUCUGCUCCGUAUAUUAUUUUAUCGGGGAACAUGGAAGUCUUUCCAGGGUGCAGUUGGAUUCCUGGGACGUUCUUGUCCUGUGGCUGUUGGUCUGUCUGACCCAGCAGUCACCUCCGAGAUCUCCGCCAGGGAGCUGUGCCCAGAGAUGCGAACUCGAGUGCCUGUGAGAAGGCUCAGAACGGUCCACUUCUGUCCCCGGUCCACAGACGCCCGGGGACAAAGUGCUCUGCAGAUGGGCCUUCAGAGACGGUAAACACCACAAAUCUGUCGCAACCGAAGGGACGCAUUCAAGGUCCCGCUGAGAAACGUUACCCGAGUGGAGGAUCAUCGGUGACUCGACUGAGCCUGGGACCGCUCAUCGGUGACUGUGAGGUUCAACGCCCUUGGAGAUAAGAGACCUUGCUGUACACAGACUGCGAUUUCGCCAUUUCAGCAAACAUUUAUCGGGCCGCCCGGGUCACCUGCUUCCUUUGAUGGCCCGAACCGUUCUGACAGACUCCGUGGCACUGCCCGACGGGGCUGAAGUCUCAGAAGUUGGCUAGUUUGGCUGCCUACCCGGUGCCCCCCACCCCUCCCCU
Myotis davidii is the source of this 645-nucleotide long non-coding RNA. RefSeq lists it as uncharacterized. The transcript has 4 exons. The record is from RefSeq and is a predicted model, not a curated record. Lineage: Eukaryota; Metazoa; Chordata; Mammalia; Chiroptera; Vespertilionidae.